GCCGGUUCCCCUUGAGUGCGGGUUGGAACCUUGAACGCCACACUCGGCGGAAAUCCGAUGGUCGGAUUCCACGCCCUUCAGGGCGUGGAGGAGGUCAAUUUCC
RNAcentral lists this unclassified non-coding RNA (103 nucleotides) under Natrinema hispanicum. RNAcentral's name for it is "Haloterrigena hispanica HgcC family RNA". The record is from RNAcentral. Lineage: Archaea; Methanobacteriati; Methanobacteriota; Halobacteria; Halobacteriales; Natrialbaceae.